Molecule: ribosomal RNA, 406 nt
Filed under: uncultured bacterium
Lineage: Bacteria
Description: partial 16S ribosomal RNA
Rfam family: Bacterial small subunit ribosomal RNA
Source: RNAcentral
GACGAACGCUGGCGGCGUGCUUAACACAUGCAAGUCGAACGAGUGGCGAACGGGCGAGUAAUACGUGGGUACCCUGCCCUCUUUUUGGGAUAAGCCAUGGAAACGGGGUCUAAUACCGAAUAAAGGGGGAUGGGCUCGCGGCCUAUCAGCUUGUUGGUGGGGUGAUGGCCUACCAAGGCGGUGACGGGUAGCCGGCCUGAGAGGGAUACAUGCGACAUUGGGACUGAGAUACGGCUCCGACUCCGACGGGAGGCAGCGUUGGGGAAUAGUGCACAAUGGGCGAAAGACGGAUGCGGAGACGCCGCGGGGGGGAUGGAGGUUUGCGUGGUGGAAACCUUUGUCGCUAUCGAAGGGGUAGCUGGAGGAGAGGCUCCGGCUAACUACGUGCCAGCAGCCGCGGUAAUUC